This 465-nucleotide ribosomal RNA is filed under the name Vreelandella stevensii. Its description in RNAcentral is "partial 16S ribosomal RNA". It matches the Rfam family "Bacterial small subunit ribosomal RNA", at positions 338 to 795 of the family's 1533-position model. Lineage: Bacteria; Pseudomonadati; Pseudomonadota; Gammaproteobacteria; Oceanospirillales; Halomonadaceae. The record is from RNAcentral.
CCUACGGGGGGCAGCAGGGGGGAAUAUUGGACAAUGGGGGGAACCCGGAUCCAGCCAUGCCGCGUGUGUGAAGAAGGCCCUCGGGUUGUAAAGCACUUUCAGUGAGGAAGAACGCCUGGUGGUUAAUACCCAUCAGGAAAGACAUCACUCACAGAAGAAGCACCGGCUAACUCCGUGCCAGCAGCCGCGGUAAUACGGAGGGUGCGAGCGUUAAUCGGAAUUACUGGGCGUAAAGCGCGCGUAGGUGGCUUGAUAAGCCGGUUGUGAAAGCCCCGGGCUCAACCUGGGAACGGCAUCCGGAACUGUCAAGCUAGAGUGCAGGAGAGGAAGGUAGAAUUCCCGGUGUAGCGGUGAAAUGCGUAGAGAUCGGGAGGAAUACCAGUGGCGAAGGCGGCCUUCUGGACUGACACUGACACUGAGGUGCGAAAGCGUGGGUAGCAAACAGGAUUAGAUACCCCUGUAGUC